GGUGAUAUGAACCGUUAUAACCGGCGAUACCCGAAUGGGGAAACCCAGUGUGUUUCGACACACUAUCAUGUCAUGAAUACAUAGUGGCAUGAGGCGAACCGGGGGAACUGAAACAUCUAAGUACCCCGAGGAAAAGAAAUCAACCGAGAUUCCCCCAGUAGCGGCGAGCGAACGGGGAGGAGCCCAGAACCUGAAUCGGCUUGUGUGUUAGUGGAAGCGUCUGGAAAGUCGCGCAGCAAAGGGUGAUAGCCCCGUACACUAAAAUGCACAGGUCGUGAGUUCGAUGAGUAGGGCGGGACACGUGACAUCCUGUCUGAAUAUGGGGGGACCAUCCUCCAAGGCUAAAUACUCCUGACUGACCGAUAGUGAACCAGUACCGUGAGGGAAAGGCGAAAAGAACCCCGGCGAGGGGAGUGAAAUAGAACCUGAAACCGUGUACGUACAAGCAGUGGGAGCACCUUCGUGGUGUGACUGCGUACCUUUUGUAUAAUGGGUCAGCGACUUAUAUUUUGUAGCAAGGUUAACCGUAUAGGGGAGCCGUAGGGAAACCGAGUCUUAACUGGGCGAAUAGUUGCAAGGUAUAGACCCGAAACCCGGUGAUCUAGCCAUGGGCAGGUUGAAGGUUGGGUAACACUAACUGGAGGACCGAACCGACUAAUGUUGAAAAAUUAGCGGAUGACUUGUGGCUGGGGGUGAAAGGCCAAUCAAACCGGGAGAUAGCUGGUUCUCCCCGAAAGCUAUUUAGGUAGCGCCUCGUGAACUCAUCUUCGGGGGUAGAGCACUGUUUCGGCUAGGGGGCCAUCCCGGCUUACCAAACCGAUGCAAACUCCGAAUACCGAAGAAUGUUAUCACGGGAGACACACGGCGGGUGCUAACGUCCGUCGUGAAGAGGGAAACAACCCAGACCGCCAGCUAAGGUCCCAAAGUCAUGGUUAAGU
RNAcentral lists this ribosomal RNA (938 nucleotides) under Serratia marcescens. RNAcentral's name for it is "partial 23S ribosomal RNA". It matches the Rfam family "Bacterial large subunit ribosomal RNA", at positions 85 to 1064 of the family's 2925-position model. Lineage: Bacteria; Pseudomonadati; Pseudomonadota; Gammaproteobacteria; Enterobacterales; Yersiniaceae. The record is from RNAcentral.